GGGGAAUAUUGGACAAUGGACCAAAAGUCUGAUCCAGCAAUUCUGUGUGCACGAUGACGUUUUUCGGAAUGUAAAGUGCUUUCAGUUGGGAAGAAAAAAUGACGGUACCAACAGAAGAAGUGACGGCUAAAUACGUGCCAGCAGCCGCGGUAAUACGUAUGUCACAAGCGUUAUCCGGAUUUAUUGGGCGUAAAGCGCGUCUAGGUGGUUAUGUAAGUCUGAUGUGAAAAUGCAGGGCUCAACUCUGUAUUGCGUUGGAAACUGCAUGACUAGAGUACUGGAGAGGUAAGCGGAACUACAAGUGUAGAGGUGAAAUUCGUAGAUAUUUGUAGGAAUGCCGAUGGGGAAGCCAGCUUACUGGACAGAUACUGACGCUAAAGCGCGAAAGCGUGGGUAGCAAACAGGAUUAGAUACCCUGGUAGUCCACGCCGUAAACGAUGAUUACUAGGUGUUGGGGGUCGAACCUCAGCGCCCAAGCUAACGCGAUAAGUAAUCCGCCUGGGGAGUACGUACGCAAGUAUG
This 522-nucleotide ribosomal RNA is filed under the name uncultured bacterium. RNAcentral's name for it is "bacterial SSU rRNA". It matches the Rfam family "Bacterial small subunit ribosomal RNA", at positions 356 to 896 of the family's 1533-position model. The record is from RNAcentral.